Molecule: ribosomal RNA, 501 nt
Filed under: uncultured bacterium
Lineage: Bacteria
Description: partial 16S ribosomal RNA
Rfam family: Bacterial small subunit ribosomal RNA
Source: RNAcentral
AUUGGACGCUGGCGGCAGGCUUAACACACGCAAGUCGAGCGGAGAUGAGGUGCUUGCACCUUAUCUUAGCGGCGGACGGGUGAGUAAUGCUUAGGAAUCUGCCUAUUAGUGGGGGACAACAUUCCGAAAGGAAUGCUAAUACCGCAUACGUCCUACGGGAGAAAGCAGGGGAUCUUCGGACCUUGCGCUAAUAGAUGAGCCUAAGUCGGAUUAGCUAGUUGGUGGGGUAAAGGCCUACCAAGGCGACGAUCUGUAGCGGGUCUGAGAGGAUGAUCCGCCACACUGGUACUAAGACACGGCCCAGACUCCUACGGGAGGCAGCAGUGGGGAAUAUUGGAGAAUGGGGGAAAGCCUGAUCCAGCCAUGCCGCGUGUGUGAGGAAGGCCUUAUGGUUGUAAAGCACUUUAAGCGAGGAGGAGGCUACUGAGACUAAUACUCUUGGAUAGUGGACGUUACUCGCAGAAUAAGCACCGGCUAACUCUGUGCCAGCCGCCGCCGUAA